GGCUCAGAUUGAACGCUGGCGGCAUGCUUUACACAUGCAAGUCGAACGGCAGCGCGGGGCAACCUGGCGGCGAGUGGCGAACGGGUGAGUAAUAUAUCGGAACGUACCCAAGAGUGGGGGAUAACGUAGCGAAAGUUACGCUAAUACCGCAUACGAUCUCAAGGAUGAAAGUGGGGGAUCUUCGGACCUCAUGCUCCUGGAGCGGCCGAUAUCUGAUUAGCUAGUUGGUGAGGUAAAGGCUCACCAAGGCGACGAUCAGUAGCUGGUCUGAGAGGACGACCAGCCACACUGGAACUGAGACACGGUCCAGACUCCUACGGGAGGCAGCAGUGGGGAAUUUUGGACAAUGGGCGCAAGCCUGAUCCAGCAAUGCCGCGUGAGUGAAGAAGGCCUUCGGGUUGUAAAGCUCUUUUGUCAGGGAAGAAACGGUCGCGAGAGCUAAUAUCCU
Molecule: ribosomal RNA, 448 nt
Filed under: barley rhizosphere bacterium LJ63
Lineage: Bacteria
Description: bacterial SSU rRNA
Rfam family: Bacterial small subunit ribosomal RNA
Source: RNAcentral